AGAGUUUGAUCCUGGCUCAGGAUGAACGCUGGCGGCGUGCUUAACACAUGCAAGUCGAACGGACUCAUAUUGAAACCUAGUGAUUUAUGAGUUAGUGGCGGACGGGUGAGUAACGCGUGGAAAACCUGCCGUAUACUGGGGGAUAACACUUAGAAAUAGGUGCUAAUACCGCAUAAGCGCACAGCUUCGCAUGAAGUGGUGUGAAAAACUCUGGUGGUAUACGAUGGUUCCGCGUCUGAUUAGCUUGUUGGUGGGGUAAUGGCUCACCAAGGCGACGAUCAGUAGCCGGCCUGAGAGGGUGAACGGCCACAUUGGGACUGAGACACGGCCCAAACUCCUACGGGAGGCGGCAGUGGGGAAUAUUGCACAAUGGGGGAAACCCUGAUGCAGCGACGCCGCGUGAGUGAAGAAGUAUUUCGGUAUGUAAAGCUCUAUCAGCAGGGAAGAAAAUGACGGUACCUGAUUAAGAAGCCCCGGCUAACUACGUG
RNAcentral lists this ribosomal RNA (488 nucleotides) under uncultured Lachnospiraceae bacterium. RNAcentral's name for it is "bacterial SSU rRNA". It matches the Rfam family "Bacterial small subunit ribosomal RNA", at positions 8 to 507 of the family's 1533-position model. The record is from RNAcentral. Lineage: Bacteria; Bacillati; Bacillota; Clostridia; Lachnospirales; Lachnospiraceae.